UACAGUGUCAAUAGCCCUCCAUCUCGCUUUUUCCCUUCCCUCAUUUUUUCUUUUACCUCCCACUAUUUUUUUCCCUCCGUUGAUUUUGGGCCCUAAACUACGACGUUUUUGGGAGCCAAUUAAUUACAUUGAAUUCCACUUUCCCAUUUCAUUUUACAAUAGCCCUAACACCUUCAGCCGCUCUCUCUCCUUCCAUCAGAGCUCUGUUGCCCUUCUGUCACUAGUCUCGCCCUUCCAUCACCGAUCAUCACAGCUCUCUCUCCUUCUAUCACCGGUCAGUGUUCCAAAACUGGUGGCUUGGUUUAGAGGGAUAAAGUCAUUGCUACUACGCACACAGAGAGAGAAAGAGUCGUCCUUGGGGGUUUCCAAAACCUCGUCUACACUAACAGAUCGGACGAGAAUGUUUUUAGGUUAGUAACUGUUCGCCUUCUGAUUUUGAUUACCUGUGUAUUUUUUUUUUUUUAAUUUAAAUUAUGAAUUUACCAUAUUUGUCAACGUGCCUUAGCUUUGUUUGUGCAGAGUCGGAAGACGACUCUCUUCGCGAAAGCCCAAGCUCCUUGCCCCCGACCACUGGACAUCGUGAAAACCUUGGAUAGCUCUUUACCUCCUCCUUACAGCUUUUUGAAGUCUAAAUAAGCCUUUGUCCCGGUUUCCAUCGCAUUAGCAAUCAAGAAGGGGAUAACUCGUAUUUGAUUUGCUAAUAUUCUUUGAAGGUCGGUUUCCCCAAAUAUGAUUAAAGAAGCAGUUUUGACAAAUCUCUUGUUGAAAUAGAUGCACUGUUGCCAGGGAGCCAUCUUCUGGACCGAACCUCUCGAGGCAUUGUAUGUGUGGAGUUCGUGGCAUAAUGCUCAUAAUGGUAAUCGUGUCGACGGACCAGCUCAGAGUGGUACGAGAAGCUGCGUUGAUGUGAUGCAGUCACAAGGCCCCGCGGGCGCCCGCCAAAUGUGUCAACCCACUGCCUUAUUUCGCGGGGCCCCGCCACAGGUUCGCGGGCCCCCGCCGUUCCACCGCGGGCGCCCGCAGUUUAUGCCAGUAGCCCCCUCGCGCCAUGAAAGCCCGCGGGCCCCUGCCGAUCUGCAGAGAGCAGCCCACCUGCUCCUAUUUUUGUGCUGAACUUGUUCCCUCUGCAAUUUUUGUGUGGUUCUACUUCCUUGGAGUGGUUGGAGCUCGUGAUGGAGGGUGAGGAGAGGGGUUUUUGGCUAGAUAAGAGCCUUGAGGCAUUAUUAGUGAGAUAUCACACAUUUUAACUAAGUUUUAGAGAGAGAAAAGAGUGAUCUUGAGGGUUUUGGGUACUAGCUUGCUUGAGCACAAAAAUGGAGGGUGGAUUUGCUUCUUCUCCUUCAUUCCUUGUUCCUAUAGGUAACUAAAUCCUUCUCUAGGGAGGUGAUGAAGCCCUCCCUUAUAAGCAUGUUUUAGAUUAGCUUCUAUUUUGGGGAUAAUGAUGUGUAGUUUGGUCUUUUCAUAAUCUAGAGCAUAUUACUUGAUGUAAUGAA
Molecule: long non-coding RNA, 1493 nt
Organism: Cornus florida
Lineage: Eukaryota; Viridiplantae; Streptophyta; Magnoliopsida; Cornales; Cornaceae
Exons: 3
Source: RefSeq, a predicted model, not a curated record